This 433-nucleotide ribosomal RNA is filed under the name uncultured bacterium. RNAcentral describes it as "partial 16S ribosomal RNA". It matches the Rfam family "Bacterial small subunit ribosomal RNA", at positions 29 to 507 of the family's 1533-position model. The record is from RNAcentral.
AACGAACGCUGGCGGCAUGCCUAACACAUGCAAGUCGAACGAGACCUUCGGGUCUAGUGGCGCACGGUUGCGUAACGCGUGGGAACCUGCCCUUAGGUUCGGAAUAACUCCCCGAAAGGGGUGCUAAUACCGGAUAAUGUCUUCGGACCAAAGAUUUAUCGCCUUUGGAUGUGCCCGCGUUGGAUUAGCUAGUUGGUAGGGUAAAAGCCUACCAAGGCGACGAUCCAUAGCUGGUCUGAGAGGAUGAUCAGCCACACUGGGACUGAGACACGGCCCAGACUCCUACGGGAGGCAGCAGUGGGGAAUAUUGGAAAAUGGGCGAAAGCCUGAUCCAGCAAUGCCGCGUGAGUGAUGAAGGCCUGAGGGUUGUAAAGCUCUUUUACCCGGGAUGAUAAUGACAGUACCGGGAGAAUAAGCCCCGGCUAACUACGUG